UUAUGAAUAUGCUUAGCCUUAAAUAUGUGUUUAAUUUGUUGCAGCCGUUACUGAUAUUGAUACCAGUGGCAUCCAUGCCCUGGAAGAGUUAUAUAGAAGUCUUCAAAAGAGAGAAGUUCAGGUAACAAAAGAUGAAUAAAUAAAUUAUUUUCAUAUAAUGCAUGUUUUGAUUGAUGCCAGUGGCAUGUUUUGAUUCAUGUUUUGGAAUAUGCAUGUUAUGAAAGUAAGUUGAAAACAUCGUCUUAAUGCAUGUUUUGAUUCGCGGUGAGUUUUGCAGAAUCUUAGCGGCUUGGCUCACCGUGAUUUUGUCCUACCCACCGUGAUUCUAAACAUGCACUUAUAGACACAUUAAUGUCAUAUAUUGUUUUCAUAAGAUCUCGCAAAUAGUGUCGCAAUUGCUUAUAUCAUUGUCGAUAGAUAAAUUAAAUUAAUUCAAUUCAAAUUCAAAAUGCCCUAUAUAUAUUUGUAUGUUAACAACAUUUCUAAACAAUAUAAUAUAAGGUAACAAUUAUAGAUAUCUUAACUAAAAAGGUACCUCUUUCUUGAGCAGCUUGUUCUUGCAAAUCCUGGUCCACUAGUGAUAGACAAACUCCACACAUCCAACUUUGCAAACUUUCUUGGUGAAGACAAGAUCUUCCUAACUGUUGCAGAGGCUGUUGCAUACUGUUCUCCAAAGCUAGCUGAAGACCCUUGAAUGAAAUAGUGUGGAAAAUUUUGAUUUUACCAUUCUUAGUAUAUAGGAAAAUGUCAUUAAGAAAUGAAGUAAGGUUAGUGAGAAGAGACAUGUUUGGCUUUCAGCUGGGUUAGCUAUGAGGUUGUUACAAAGUGGCCUUUUUUGUUGGGUCAGUACUAUGUUAGCAACACAUACACUUUUUGUCACACUCUCUUGUAUUAAUUGAAAUUUAUGUUCGCCGCAUAAUUUCAUUAACCCGCUUGAAUUUCUUGUAUUAGAUUAGAGUGUGUUAAGAAGUGUAUGUUAGAGAUUCCUUAAAAAAUGUAUGUGAGAGAUUGUGGUACAAACACUUAUCCUUAAUAUUUUUAUAAAGGAAAAUAAAACAUAUUAAAGAAUUUUGUUCAUUGUUUCACUCUGUCUAAGGAUUAACUCCAAUCCUUUGUUUUCACCAACCAAUAAUGGGUGAAAAUGAAUCAAACUUCACACUUUGUAGGGUGAGGGAUAUUUCGGAUUAUACAAUCCGAAUAUCUUAUGUUCAUGAUUUUUUUUUGUGUGGUCCACAUUGCACCAACAAUUUUUGUGGUCCACGACGGACAUAAACCUCCAUAAAUAAGUGUGCUCGGUUCAUUUGUUAUAAAUGCAACAAAAAACUUUGUAAAAUCCUUCGAACGAUAUGAACACCAAGAGGUUGCUAUGAGCUAGAUCUUGUUGCUUUGGCAAUAUAAAUAUGUCAGUUGGCAAGGCAGCAAGAUCUAACUCAAAACAAUCCUCUUGAAACACCAUGUAUUUCAUCAUUAUGUUGUAGUUCUGAUUCCAAAGAGGUUCUUAUGAACUUGAUCCAGUUGACAUGCCGAACCAAAUAUGUCAGUUGGCAGGCCAGCUGGAUCUAAUACAAAAGCACCUCUUCGAACACCUUCCCAAAAGAUUCAUCACUUAUGUUAUUGUGUUGUUUUAGGCAAUUUAAUUAUUUUUCUGAGUUAAAUGAUUAUUUCAGUUCAGAAGAUUGAUUUGCUAGGAGGCUUCAACAAACGGUCACCAAAAAUUGAUUGACUGGUUAUUAGCUUUACCCGAGCAUCAUGACAUUUGAUUUUGUGGUUGACUACCUCAUUUAGAGGAUUGCUGAUUCAUUGUAUCCUACAAACUUGAACUCACAAGUGAAACUAUUUUAUAUUUUAGGCAAAACUAAAUGGCCAAAUUGAUUACACUAGACCAAAUAUCAUAGUUUGUUUCAUCAAUCUAGUUGCAAUAAUGUCUGCAAGUCUUUAAGUACCUCAACACAAGAAAAACCAAAGUAAACAUUCAUACAUGAAGACAUUAACUUAGGGGGAAAGUUACAAGUCCAUUUUUUUAACAUUGGAUUUCAUGAAAUGAAAAGUUGGAUAAUUUGGUUGAAGAUGCACACUUCUAAAAGUAAUUUAGAAAAGAAAAGAUUGUUAUAAGAGGCAGAAAAUGAAUGAGAUUGAAUUAAAGAUGAAACAACAAAGAUCAAAAGAUUGCAUUAUCCAGACACUAUAUAUGUUUAUUUUCAAAGAUGUACACAGAUCAAAAGAUAUACUGGAUGCCGACCCCUGAAUUGAGUUAAGUACAGACUGCAAGAACAGAAUGAAUUCCUUUGGAUUAGUCUCAGUACUAAUCCUAAAGGUUUGGUCUAAACUAUAUUAUACUAAUCAUAAAAGUUAGGUCUAAACUAUAUUAUCUGUGUUCACUUCACAUUACAAAAAAUAAGAAUAUGUGAGUAGCAGAAUUAUGGGUCACUCAAUUUUGUUUUGCCUUAGUACUAGCAUCUUAUUUAUUUCAUAUCAAAGUUUUGUGCAUGAUUAGUCGUUCAUUUUUCACAAUUGUGCACACUUUAUUUUCAAAGAAGUGUGCACACUUUAUUGCAAUACAAAUACUAACAGAAGAACCUAACUGAGAAUAAUGGUACCUUCUAGAAGGAAUAUGAUCAUACUGUUUAUUUAUAUUCUUGUAGCAACAUGCAUUUUGAAUGGUACCAUGAAUUGUUUGUAAAUUUAUAAAAAUUCUUUUCUACUUCUGUUGCAAAACUGGAAUCUGAAUUCUACGUCAAUUUAGGUAUGUACUUUCUUGUAAUCGUAUUCAGCCCAUUUAUCAGGCUUGUUAUGUAUAGCGCAGUCAAUAUAAACGUAUUAGUAUACACACUAUUCAACAUUAGAAUAAUAUUCAUAAUUUUUCCUACAAAUGCCAUUAUUUCCUUCCCAUUUCUCUGACAAGCAGUAUUUAUUCAAAGUUCUAAAAGUUUCUGCUAUUAAGGUGCAAUAGCAAUGGUCCUAGGUCGUCACCGUUCAAUGCCGAGGAUCUACAAUUGGAGUUUUGUAGUUUUAAGCUCUUGCUUAUCAUAUGUUAUGUCAUGAAUAUUGGCUUGAUGCCUAUACAUAUAAUUACACUAAAUAAUUACAUAUAAUGGAAACAAAUCAAUUUCUGAUUUAUGUCUUUAUUUCUAGGAACAAACUAAUAAAUAUAAUAAGGAGAAACAAUGUAUCUAAUUGUUGUUGUUAUGAAUCAAAGGAUUCCAUGGUUCUAGAUCAAAUGCAAUGGAAAGAUAGAUUGUGUAAUUCUCUCUAGGAGUCAUUACCAAGAAACAAUCGUAUAAAAGAUAAUGAAAUAGUACAUAGGUGUAACUUAUUUAUAGUGACUUGGAGUAACUAACUCCCUAACUAACUUUCUACAUAGAUAACUUGCUCUCCAAGUUAUCUUCUUCACUAUACUCUAAUAGUUGUUUCAUGUACUUGCAGGGUUAAGAUUUAGUAGAUCUACGUUCUGAGUUCACAUCAAACUUUCUUCUAUUGUUUCUCUCCAUAUUUCUUCAAGUUUAUUCUUUCGAUGCAUUUUGAGAAGCUAGAUACAAUCGGAAGUUUAUUCUUCACUAAGCAUUCAAUUCAUUCACUAAAUUCGCAACAAUGAUUUAAAUUUCAAGUUCAAACCGAGUUUCUAAACUCAUUUGUAUUUGAGUGGAAGGCACAAGCUGGUAACAUAUGAAACGGGAUACAAAUCUAUAGUUGUGUUAAAUGUCCAAAAAAUGGUCAUAUAAAAUUUCUAUUUUAUUGACUGAUAUGAGUAAUAUAGCAGAAAGAAGAUUCAAGGAAAAAAAAAACAAAGAAUCUACAUCCAAUGAUUACAAGCCCAAAGGCAUUUGUGCAAGCUAAAAGUGAAGACUUCAGGGAUAAAAACCAACCCAAAAGCAAACUGAAAUAACAAACAAAGUAAGUGCAACAGAAUUAUUGACCUAAUAAGUAAUCUCGUAUGGAUGUACACGCACGCACACGACACUUUUCAUUUGUAUCUACACAACAGAAUUGCAUCAGUAUACUCACUCUAAAAUUUCAAAAGAAAAAUAAUGCUUGUAAGUAAAAACAAUGAAGUCAGACACAACUUUUACAGAAGUUAAACUAAUUUUCACUGAGCUCCUAAUUGUGACUGCAUACCAAUAUUGCACGGAUAUGCCGAUGAAGAUACCUCACUUGGUGCUUGGCUCAUUGGACCUAUUAUGGUUAUGAAGAAACGAGUCAGCACCUUUAAGACUGCCAAGGUUUGGCUAUGUGUCAGGCAAAGUACCACUCGACCCUGCCAUUGAAUGUGGAAUUUGUUGGGGGGAUGAACUCUCAGCAAGUCUAGGAUUGUUGACGGUUGAGGAGGAAGUCGAAGGUGCAGGUAUGUUGUAAACUUCAACCUGCCAAGGAUUGACUAGGUUUGGAUUCUGCGGGAUAUCAAGUCCAUCCCAAUUAACCUAUGAUAAAAAGAUAAAAAACAGGAAGAAUCAAUAUCAAGAAUUUGAAAUAUUUGAUAAAAUAUAAAUAGUAUAUAUGUGUAUUUAGACAUCAAAAGUUUCUUAUCAAUUAAUAACCUGAGCCAAAAUCAAGAUCUACUUAGCAUUAGGAGUAUUUACAAUGAGAAAGGCUUAGAAGGUUCUUAAACUUCAUAACUAUUUUUUAGUGAAUAUCACUGGUGAACCAAGUCAAGUAGGCAGUUGCAUAUAAAAACAAUCCAUUCUAAAAUGCAAUCUUAUUACAUAAAGUAAACAUUAAGUGUCAUGGGAGAUAUCUAUCAAGUGCAAGAACAAUGGGAAUUAAUAAUGAUGGAGAUGGAGAUUCUGUUACAAUUUUCUGUCUCAUCAAGUAUCAUCUAAUUAUAGUUUCAUGUAUUAAUUUCAACACUCAUAUUUAUCAAUCAAACAAUCUUUUUAUGAAUUCAACUAUAAACACUUGAAAUAUAACAAGACCAAAUGAAGAAAGCAUAUGUACCUCAAGCAUGCGCCAAUUAGGGACAUUAGAAGAAUGGUUAUAGACAAAAGAGAUUGUUCCCUUAAGCUGAGAAAUUGUCAUCUUUGAAUUUGAAGAUUCAUAUUUCUUCAAAGGAAGCUUCACUCUCAUUCCAGAUUUCCAACCAAUUUUCAUGGCAUCGUCAACAGUCUUAGCAUCCACCACAAAAUCACGCCAACCACUAGCUGUCGGAUAAUACACAACAUCAAAUGCUGUGUUCUUCUCCGCCAAUUCCGCUGCAUCCAAAACCUUAAUCUCAUCAGUUAAAUUCUCGCUUCCUUCAUCCGCUUCAUCUGUAGUGAACUUGGUCUUCCUGCGAAUUCCGACAGAUAUCUUUCCGGCAGAGUUUUUGAUGAAAACAACAGAAUCGUUCGCGACGAGUUUCUUCUCUCGUACAAAGUUUAACCAGCCAGUAUGUAAUCUACUGGAAUUUGAGUAGGUAUAUGUGUACCCCCGUUCUUGGUUUUUAAGGUCGGUGACAGUGAUGCUCUGAGACUUGUCCAAAUCAAGCUUGGGAAAGAUCAAGUUAGAGCAUUCGAUAGGUACGCAUAAUACUCGUGUACAAUCAGAUUGUGUGAGAGUCUUGACAUAGGAAACAAGAUUGUCUCCAUCAUCGUCUUCUUGGCCGGGAACUACAGGAGGAGGGGGUUCUUGGUCAGUUACGGGAGUCAGGAGCAGUUUGGCAAAGACCUCGUCGGUGUGAGGAUCAACAAAGAGAUCAACGGAAGAGACGAUGCAUGGAAUGGAUGAACGGUAACGAUCAAGAAUGGUUCUUGUGGCAGCAGUAGGGGAAGAACAUGCAUGUUCCAGAUGACCUCGUGGGAAGUAGUAAACUUUAGAGUGAAUCUUUGGAAUCUUGACGUCGGGGCCGGCGCAUAUCUGCCAUAUUUUGGGGUCCACACGAGGUGGCAGAGGAAGAGACAUGGCGGAGCUAUUGCAGAGAGAGAGAGAGAGAGAGAGAGAGAGAGAGAGAGAGAGAGUAUUGUUGGGUGUAUGAAAGUGUUAGUUAUAAAAGUGAAAACUGUGUGUGAAGUAGUUCGUUACAAAAUGCUUAAGUUUAUUUAUAGUGUUUCAGUUAUAGAUGAUUGCAUGGAUUAGCAUGGGCCUGGUUUGGAUGAGUUUUUCAGUUAUAGUCUAUCUUAUCCAUCCUUUUAAAUUAACAUGAGUUUAUGAGAACUAUUAAUAUCAAUUUAUAUCUAAGUUGAUUUUAAUUGACUCAUUUGAACUUAUUUACUAAUGUAAGCACUUGUGAGAUUGUUUAUGAGAACUAUUCAAAUUUGUAGUUAAUGUUUUGCAAAUGAACUUUUUAUAAUGAUUUAAAUAAGUCUUUAAAAAAUUAUUCUAAAAUUUUAAAGUUUAAACAUAAUUAAACAAUUUUUAAUUUAACGGGGACUAAACCUCCAUGUUCAAAAACUUAUUUGGACCAUAAAAUGAUCUAAAUCAAGAAUAAGAAUAUAUAAAUGUGCAUAAUUUAGAGCAAUUUAUUUCUUUAAAAAGUUCUAAAAUUAAAUAGAUCUUCAAUAUUUUGGACAAAUCUCCAAAUUAAAGAAAUUUGGUUGUUCGGCCUAAUAAAAUCAGCUUCAAAAAUAGUUUUAUUCCUCCACUUCCACAAGUACCAACAUAUCGUCAUGAAAGUUGUCUUCCAACUUAAAGUGUUUGUCCCAAUGUCUUUCUUGUUGAGGUUAUAAGCAACAAUGAAAUAAAAAUCUGCUUUAUUAAUUUUCCAAGAACUUGGAAUUAACAAACUCUACAUGCGAACAUACACUUCGUAACUAAAUUAUUUUUUUUGAAGGACUUUUUUUUUUUUUUUUUGUUCAAGUAGCCCAGUGGCUAGAGCUCACACAAUUUAAUUGUGGAGAAGUGGAGUGUCUGGGGUUCGAACCCCGACCCCUGCAUAUAAAAUGCGAUAUCCCUACCAACUGAGCUAAGCUCACGGGGAUAACUAAAUUAUUUUUUUGAAGGACUUGAUAACUAAAUUAUUAAAAAUGACAUAUAAUCAAUUUAAAAAUUGAACGACAUUUUCAUCAUAUUCAUCACUCCCUUAAUUUAUUUUUUGGUACAAAAAUCUGUAUAUUUUUACUCCAUUAAUUAAGAACCGGCAAGUCCGCAAUAAAAUAAAGUUCCGAUUUUGUCAAAAAUAAAAUAAAAUAAAGUCCCGAUAAAUUCUACACGUUUUUUUGGGUGUUCCAAUUCCACACAUGUUAAUCUAACUUAAAAAGGAAUAUAAUUUAUAAAUCAAUAGGAGUUACUAUUUUUUAAUUCUUUUUUUUUUAAGGAAUAGGACUUAUUAUAUGCUGGGAUUUGUUUUUUGUUGAGGGAAUUAUAUGUUGGAUAUUGUCAUUGAUUGUUUAUCAAAAAUCAUAAAUAUAGUUUACAAUCAAUAAUCUUAAAUAUAGUUUACAAUCAAAUAACAUAUUUAUAUUUUUUUUAUCAAUUAGUAGUUGUGGUUUUUUCAGGGGUAUUUGUAGUUGCGAUUGUGUGUGAUUAAAUUAAAGGAGAUUCGACACACUACUUUUUGCGGAAGUUCAGCAUGAUAGAAUAACAUGGAUGAUGGAACGUAACGGGAGGUAUACUGUCAAGAUUGGUUAUAAACUAGCUAUGAUUGAGUUGUUACAUACCGAUCGGUUCCAUGUUGAAGGAGCGUGGCAAAGAAUCUGGAAGGUGAAUUCCCCUCAUAAAGCUCGUAAUUUGUUAUGGAGGAUUUACAGGGGAUGUGUUCCGACGCAUUUUCGAUUACAAUCACGACAUGUGCAAUGUGAGGUGGUCUGUCCUUGGUGUGAUACGACUAUUGAGGAUGAUUGGCAUGCUUUUGUGGGUUGUACGAUGGCGCGUGGGAGUUGGUAUUGGGCAAGACUUUCGACUGUGGUGCAACCGCGAGUUGGAACUGUGAAUAGUUUGGCAGAUUUUGUUUUUGAUAUAUGUUGUUCAGAAAGUCGAGACUUUGCUGGUCGAAUGGCUUUACUUCUUUGGCAAAUUUGAGCUGCACGUAAUGAUACCAUUUGGAAUGAUGCUCAUCAUACAUCAACGAGCAUUGGGAAGACGGCAUUAUAUGCAUGGCAGCAAUGCCAAGAGGUUCAUAAACAGCGCCCACUAUCGGUGAUGCAACACAGGCAUAAACCGAGCGAGACGUGGUUGAAGUGCAAUGUGGAUUCCGCGUUCCAUGACCGUAACCAUAUUACAAUUUUCACGUGUUGUGUUAGAGUCUCACGCGGGAAAUUUAUUCGAGCUCAAACGAAAUGGCAGCGGGCAAAUAUGACAGUUUUGGAGGGGGAGGCAGUAGCCUUACUCGAGGCCCUUCACUUUGCUGAUGCGAACAGAUGGGACUGAGUUGUCUUCGAGUCCGACUCAUCUACUCUAGUGCAAGCUCUAUCGUCUCAGGGUCAUGGUGAUUAAGAAUUCUAUGUUAUUGUUUCUAGUAUUAUUUAUCAGUUAUAUUUACAUUCCAACUUCCAGGUGAAGUUUGUUAGGAGAUAAGCGAACAUGGUUGCUCAUACUUUAGCUAGGGCGGCCUGUUCUUGGGCUAGUCACUGUAUUUUUUAUUCUUAUCCUUCUUGUAUUGAACAUUGUUUGAUUAAUGAUAAUAGUUAAAUUUGUUUCUGUCAAAAAAAUUUAAAGGAGAAUGCUAACCAUUGCCUUUUGGGCAUUGGUUAAAGUACUAAAAUAAGUAAGUUUGCAUAGAAAAGUUGUGUAAUUAUUGCUAAGAAAAAAAAUAAAGAUUUGAAUUUUUAAGACAAAGUUUUUAUUGAUGGAAUCCUUCAUCAUUGCCCCUAGUGCACUCGUUAGCAAGACCCUAAAUUAAAUUAAGGAUCAUGCUAACCGGAUCGGUGCACUAGUUAAUGAUAUAAAAAAAGAAAGUUAUUACUAAAAAAAGAAACUUUUUUGAUUUUUUAUAACUUAAUUACACAAUUUUUAAUGCAAUAACUACUAUAUAAUUUUUUUUUAGUAUCCUUAUUUAGUAUCCUGGAACAACUAGCAUUUCCCUUAAAUUAAAUAUUAAAUUUUGUCAUUGUGCUUGUUUAAGGGAUAAUUAAGUAUUUAAAUAAUAUUGGCCAAAUAAAGGAAUGAUGUAGUGUAGUGACAACUCUACAAAUAGACUCUUGUAUAAAAAUAAAAAAAUAAAAAAUAAAAACUACAAAUAGACUAUAUGGUCUUAUGCACAUUAUACCUCUUCUAUAUAAUCAAUCUCACUCAAAUCAGAAUCAAACUAUUGUUUUGUUUUGUUUUUAUAUAUGUGUCUUAUCAACUCUAACUAUUGAUGUUUGAUUUUAUUUUCUGUUUAAUUCGAAAAGCAACAUUUUUGUUGUUGUUUGUACUUUGUAUGAGAUUCACUUAUAUUUAGACAUGUAAGAGAUGAGAAAGCUUCCAGGUACUAAUUAAAAUAAAAUCCAUAUUGCCCUGAUAAACAAGUGAAAAAUAUUCCGAAAACUGAGAUCACCCUUCUCUGCAUACAAUGCUAUUUUUUUCGUUUUUUUUUAUAAAAUGCUAUUUUUGCUAUUACUUAGUUACGGUGUGUGGUCAUUAAUAAACAAAUAAAAAAUUGCAAUUUAACACUCAGUAGUUUUGAGUGUUGAUGGUUCAUAGUAUCAAUUCCUCAACAAAUGAUCUGGACUAGAAUGACAUCUUGAUAAUUUAGACAAAAUAAAUAAAUAAAAUCACUUGCAGUAACAAAAACCGUUAUAACUUUAUGAGUUGAAUCUUUAAUAGUCCCAAAGGUCUUUUACAAGAUGAUUAGUCUCCAACUUCUUCCAAUCACAAGACAUUAGUAAUAAAAGAAAGUAGUUUCUAUUUGCAGAAAUAGAACCUCUCAUGUGAUUUUUACAUGACAGCAUGAAGUGUAAUAUUGUGUCAUAUUUCAUCGUUUAAACUCACUUCGUCUAAACUUCACGAGUGAUUAUCUUUCUUUUUGAAGAGGUAUAGAUCAUACUUUACGCUCUCAUGAAAAAAAUACACAUGGUAGAAUUCAUUUCACUCAUUUGUUGAGAUUCUAGUAGUCUGAGACCGUUUUAAAAAAAUCAAAAAUUCAUUGUUCUGCAAGCAAAUAUAAUGAGAGGAAUGGAGAGGAUAGAACUCGAUUUGUCUCCAAAUAUCUUUUACACGAUAUUCCAGAAAUGUAAUUCAGAAAAUCACCUCCUUUAAAUUUAGCAGAUAAUGAUCAAAUAUGUUUCACAUAUUGCACAGAAGGAUCAUAUUUCGAUUUUAAAUUUUGUACAUGCGUAGUUAAAUCAUGUUGAUCAUCAAGUUAAAAGGUUCUUGAUGGCAUCCCAUACAAAUUUAGUUAACAAAAUCAUUCCAAGCAACAUUGCAGAAGUCCAGCAUCUUUAUAAGUCUUGACAGUCCAUCAGCAGCAGCGCAGUCACUCAGCUGCUGAGCAAAACGGAAACCGUAUGAGGCAUCGGAACCAUACAUUAGUAUAAACGGAAAAACAAGACAAACAAGCCAAUUGGAAGAAAAAAAUCAGAAUGGAAUAACAUAAGUAGGCAAUUCCACUUAUUAUAAAUAUGAAUUAACAUCACUUGUGUGAGUUGAAGCAGAAACACAGAUGUACGUUAACUGUUGACUUAAGUUCUAACUCUCAUGCAGUGCAACAGAUCGUAGUUUGAAAAAGUUACGUUUAAAUUUCACAAAGAACAUAACACUAGUGUUGCAUUAGAUGAACGUUAUUAAAGGAAUGCAACUAAAGACACAUUAAUAUAGAAACUUGACAUCAAUUGAGCCACAUUUACAAGAUUAUGCAGGUAAAACUGUUAAUUGAUGCAAAUUUACAAGAUUAUGCAGGAGUAUGUUUGAUAUAAUGAUCUGGAAAUAAAUCCAUCAAUUAAAUUAAGCCCUAGGAAAUUUGAAUAAGAUAAUUGAUGGCUGGAGGAGCUCUAAAUCCUAACAGUUUCCCAGGCUAAAGUAUAUUUAAUGGAAACAGAAAAUGCUACUAGGUCAGAAUGCAGUCAAUAACCAAGCCUUAUUCCACCAAGUGUAAAUUAAAUUUUUGACAUAAUUGUCCUAACAUAAUGCAAAUUAAAUUUUUAGAGACAAUGUCUUUUGAGCGUCUAAAGUUACGCCAGUAGUCUGUGCAUAAGAAAGACAUUACCAGGAUCUUCCAUAUAUGAACCCCCGACUAGGUCAAUAAUAAUCCAUAAAAGGCCAUCAAAGUUUUUGUCAUAAAUCACUAAUAUGUGAUAGAUCUUAUCUUGUGACACUAAAUCGCUACUUAUAUCAACAUUUAUGUCAAAUUGACAUUACAAUUGGCAAAAACUUGAAGAAACUUUCCCUUUGAAAGAACAUAGCAUCUACACGAUUCAUUUCUAAAUCAGCCUCACCUAUAAAUAACUAAUAAAAACAAAACACCGUGGCUUUUGAAGAUCAUACUUUUAUUGCAAAACAAAUCUAAUAAAACAUGUUUUUUUAUCUUAAACAUCGUGGAUAAAUAACAAAACUGAACUCACACUAUUCUGCUAUUUGAAGAGAGAGAAAGAGGGUUAGUUCAAAGAAAUUGAAAUACGUAUGUGUUGUGUUUGCAAUCGAAAGCCAAAACUGAUAGGAAGAAGAUAGGGAGAAACAGACGGCGACGGCAACCACAAUAACGGCUUCGUCAACAGAAACGACGGCACAACCGCAGGACUUCGUUAACAGAAACGACGACAGCUGCAAUGACUUCGACGACAACCGCAACUACGGCAGCGACGAUGACGGCAAACUCACGGCGAUGAAAACUCUAGAUCUUGCAUUUACAUCAGAUUUGGGUUUUUUUUUAUAUAAGUGUUCAUGACAAAAAACCAGGUUUAGAUAUAAAAUCCGGUUCAGGUACCAUGAACCAGUAGUGAACCGGACUGAACUCUAUCAAACCAGUUUAAGAAAAAUCCAUUUUUUUUGUGAAAGUAGAUUUUUGAUCCAAGCUGUAUCCAUAAAUCUAGUAUGGAUCAGUUUGGAUAACCCAUUUGCACACCCCUACCUGACACUCCCCAAGCCCCACCAACACAAAAUAGACCCCCUAAAUACCUAUGCAGCACCAAUACUUUAAAUUGAAGGUGUGUUUGGUUCAAUGUAUGGCACAACACCAACAAAUGUAGUUAUAUUUAAUCACUUUCAUUUUCUCAUAUUAUUGCCGGUGCCAACAUGUCAGUGGUAUCAGUGUCAUGUGGCGUAAGUGUCAUUUCUAAUGUUUGUGUCAAUAUCAGCGUUUUAUAGCACCGACACUUCAAAUUGAAGGCGUGCAACUAACACGUGUAGGUACCCAACUAACACAAACACUUUUAAUUACAUACAAUAUCUUCUAUUAUCUAAAAUUAUUAUUGUGCCUACAUGUCAUUGUUGGUGUCCGGUGUCCGUGAUUCAUAGUCCAAAACAAAAAAUCAUCCCCAAACAUCUCUUUCUAAGCACAUUAAGAAAAUCAAACAAAAUGAUACUAGAAUCAACAUUACCACCUUGACUCCUAGCAUUUGGCUGAGCUAUAAUGCCAGUUUUUGACAAAGCUGAGUCCAGGAAUAUGCACCAGCCACUAGAUAAUUCUAGAGCCUCUCUUCCAUCCAUGAUAUUUGUACAAAUGGUUGUACAAAUAUCAUUACUCCAUGAGUUUACCUUACCAAGAGAUUAGUACCUUAGCAACUAUCUUAAGAUCUUCUUCAAUCUAACUUCUAAAAUAGAGGAAGAUACUAAAAAGGGUUAAACUAGAUUUACUCCUAAUAAUGAGAUAAGGAAAAAAAGAUAAAACAAUGAUGAAAAGAUUGAGUCUUUAAAUCAUGUUAAUGGCAGAGAGAUAACCACCCCUUUUGUACAAUGAUUCAAUGAAAACCAUGUUAUUUGCCUAUCAAAAGAUCAUGGUAAUUGCCCCACCCUGCCAAAAGUAAUAUAUUAAAUUAAGAAAACCCCUAAAUACAUCACAGUACAACCUUAAAUCACAAUGAAAAGAUCGCUUUCAACUCUAACUGGGAAGUUGUUUCAGAAAAACAUUAAUUGAUUAACACUAUAGUACUAAAUCUUCUCAAAAAAAAAUCAUUUUUAACUAGUGAGCUGAGCCACUUGAAAACAACAUGCGUCAGCCAGUUCAUAACUCCCAGUCCCAGAAACUAGUUUCUAAAUGACCAAUCAACAAGACUAUAUGCAAAGUAAAACAGUAAUUCCUUUCUCUGUAAACUGAUACCAAAGCAGGUAAAAGACUUGCGCUUUUUCACGCCCUCCUGAACCCUCUGUUACUCUUGAAAGCUUUCCAUACAUGACAUAUUCAUAGUUAUCAGCAAUUGAUUGCCGAUUACCCUGGAGAAUAAAAAAAUAGCAGCUUUCUCUUAAGCAGAUCCAAGAUUACUGAUUUGGAACACAACAAUUAAAAGAAAGAAAUAGUGACCAUAAAAAGAAAAGAUGCCAUCUGUGCAGUAGUAGCAAUUUAUUUUGCAUUACUUGGUUAAGAGCAAUGGGAUAUUUUUUAAAAAGUAUCAGUUAGAGUCUAACCAAAUUUAGUACAGAUAGGCUUAAACACCUGGAUAAUCAUCACUGUAUUAUGUAUUUGAAAGUUAAUUUUUUCUUAGUCUAAUUACACUUUUAAGUUUGGUCCUCUUUUGCCACCAUUAUUCAAGCUUGAGCAGAAACAAAAUACGAAUUAGAAAAAUCCAAUGAAGUACCGAAGGAGAGUGAUAUUCAACAAAUGUAUCCUAACCAGCCCCCAAACCAAUAACAUGAACCACAUACAUCAGAAUUUAUAACUCAGACACCAAAGAAGAAAAAUACUGAUUCAAGAGAAAGUGACAAUUGCAUAAAGGUCAAUAUAGUUCAAAAUACCUUAAAAAAACAGAAUAUGAGAUGCACAAAUAAUCCAUAUUCACCGGCGGUAGGCGUUGCUUAAGACAUCUUUCAAGGCAUUUGCAAGUAAAUGCUUUCUACUUUCUGCUAUUGUGUAAAAUUUUUCCAUUUCAUCCAGUGUCUCUCAAGCAAUCUUUCUUUGUUGCAGUUCCAUUUUUAAUCAUGGUAAUUUGUUUCUCCAUCUUAGCCCGCAUCUCGGGUUUCCACAAUGGCAACUUCAUUUGAUCAUACCCAUUAAAAAGUGCAAGACCCAACUUUGUUGGCUCAUAGCGCCAGGUAUUACCAUCAAACUUCCUUUCAACGUAUUUCCUCCCAAUUACCGUAUUGAUGAGUAGGUGCCAUGUGGAGUCUGUACCUAUUCUCUCUUGCUGCAUUCGUGAUAACAAGUCUUCAUCACUCAGAUUUUGCGGAGAAGAAUAUGUGGACCCUUUAACAAUCAAAUCCAUUGGAGUCAACUCUCCACCAGCUGUAUAAGGUGGAAACUUUGAGAACCCCAAAAAAAGAGACUCGUAGUGGUACAUUUUCCGGUAACCUAGCUGUUCAAAUAAUAAAACCAAUCAAUUUUGAAUAUCAAAAUUUAAAUUUCCAUAUAAACCAUAUACUUAUAAGCAUAAAUCAUAAAUAAAAUUUCCUGCUUAUUUCUAUCACAGAUUACAACUAACACACUCUUGCUUGUUUAACCCCUCCUUCCUUAUACAACCCAUCAACAAACGUAUUAAAAGAACGUCUGCAUGUCAGCAGGAUUGGAUGUCAAAACUUUUGGGUUUUGAUUUUGAAGUGAUUCACAAGGUAGGUGUGGAGAAGCUGAUGCUCUAUCUAGACAGCAGGAGGGGUCAGAAAUGAACGCUAUGUUCUCCACACCUUAGGAUGAGUUGCGAAUUGCAUACCUUAUAAAGCGUCAUUGUCAUUGCAAAAAAUUGCUGACCGGCCAAGUCAACUUCCACAGUUGUUUUUUGAACUAAUGCAUCUUCCGAGAGACAUGCCAAGAAAUGGCGAACAAUCAAUUCAUAAAGAACCUGUUGUCAUUAAAAAAUAGUUAAUUUUAUUAUGAAUUUAAUAUGAGACUUUAAAAUAAAAUACAGUAAAAUUUAACUCACACAUUGAUGGUCCUUCCAACCGGAUUCUUUUCUGUUAGAAAACUUAAUGGGGUGUAUGGGCGGGUGUGAAUGAUCAGUGUGUUUACAAGCCCUGGGAUCUCUCCAAAGGCCUUUGUUACUGUCUAGUAAGUCGCUCGCAUAUGAUCCCCAUUUUUCAUGCUUUGUUUGUUUUGACACUAUAGACCUGAGCUCCUUAGUGUUCAUAGAAAAUCCGUCAGUUUCAGUUCGAGGGUAACUGAUAAACCUCUGUGUAUAUAAAUCUUCAGCGGUAUCCAUUGUUUGUUUAGGAGUCAUUUUAAAAUAUUUUGCCGCAAAUUUCUCGAGUUCCAUUGUUGUCAAUGGAACUGGUGGACUAUGAAACUUAUUAGUUAUCUCCACGAAUACUUCAACAAUUGUUGCUUUUUCAUCAGAGCAUGAUUGCAAUUUCUUUGAAGCUUUACUCUUAGCAUCAUACCACACAGGUGAAGUGAAUGUCACCUUUGGUCCGUAGCCUCUAUCAUUGAAACUGAUAUUAUAUUUUUGUGCUUUAGGCUUUGCAACUUGGUUGAAUCUCUCAACCACUAUCCCAAGCAGCGCGGACUGACAUAACCCAUAGCUUAGCGUCAAGUUAGUUGCAUUGGGAAUUUGUUUCCUAGCCAAAAAAGAUUGAAACCAAGUCCAGACACGCCCCGUCUUGAAAUCCACUUCCUUUCUGUAAGCCACGGCAUCUAAAAGACAUGGAUUCAGGUCAUCCAAAGAAGUUUUUAUAGCUGCAUUUACUGCAGUAGGAUUAAGUGAAGAAAAUCUGGCUCUUUUAACAAUGAUCUCAGAAUUUUGUUGCACAUAAAUUUCACGAACCUCAUAUGCAAUAUAUUCCCCUUCGGAUUUAGAAUACUAUCAAAAGACCCAAAUAUACAUCAGGAUUUAGAAUUCAAUUACAUGAUGGGUAAUGAAGCAUGCAAAAUGAUAUUUGCUUCUACCAAUGGACAUAUUAAAGAAACGAAGUUUGAAAAACAAUCUGACAACGUGUGGAAUGAAGGUAAUACAAAAAAACUACUAUCACCUGAAACGGUUGUCGUGAGGAGUGUUCUUGGAGACAAAAUAGAUGUCGAAAACAAAUUGAGGGAUGAAGCAAAGAAAUGUAAGUGGCUUGUGCUCUGGUUUGAUAAUGAUCCCGAAGGGGAAUAUAUUGCAUAUGAGGUUCAUGAAAUUUGUGUGCAACAAAAUUAUGAGAUCAUUGUUAAAAGAGCCAGAUUUUCUUCACUUAAUCCUACUGCAGUAGACGCAACUAUAAAAACUUCUUUGGAUGACCUGAAUCCAUGUCUUUUAGAUGCCGUGGCUUACAGAAAGGAAGUGGAUUUCAAGACGGGGCGUGUCUGGACUAGGUUUCAAUCUUUUCUAGCUAGGAAACAAAUUCCCAAUGCAACUAACUUGACGCUAAGCUAUGGGUUAUGUCAGUCCGCGCUGCUUGGGAUAGUGGUUGAGAGAUUCAACCAAGUUGCAAAGCCUAAAGCACAAAAAUAUAAUAUCAGUUUCAAUGAUAGAGGCUAUGGACCAAAGGUGACAUUCACUUCACCUGUGUGGUAUGAUGCUAAGAGUAAAGCUUCAAAGAAAUUGCAAUCAUGCUCUGAUGAAAAAGCAACAAUUGUUGAAGUAUUCGUGGAGAUAACUAAUAAGUUUAAUAAGUUUCAUAGUCCACCAGUUCCAUUGACAACAAUGGAACUCGAGAAACUUGCGGCAAAAUAUUUUAAAAUGACUCCUAAACAAACCAUGAAUACCGCUGAAGAUUUAUAUACACAGGGGUUUAUCAAUUACCCUCGAACUGAAACUGACGGAUUUUCUAUGAACUAAGGAGCUCAGGUCUAUAGUGUCAAAACACACAAAGCAUGAAAGGCAAUGAAUUGAUGGCUACCUCGCGUGCCAGAUUGAUGACUCAGCAACAUUAAGACAGAAAAGCAAUGAAUUGGAAUUCCCACCAGAAGUCAUAGUUUCCUCAGCAAAUGGCGCACAGGCUGACUCUAGGAUGGCAAUAAAUAAACACAAAUUCAAUAAAAAUCAAAAUUUUAGAAUUUUUAAAACAUACCUUUCACAGAACUUCUAAAACAUGACAUCUAACACCAAAAAAUUCCCUAAGCCAAAGCUGAGGGUGAAUUAGUAAACUAGUAGCAAUAAAAGAUGCAAUUAAACCCACAACCACAAUAUAAAAAAAAUAACCUUAGCAUCUCAUAAGUUAAAACUCUGUUGUCAAAGCAGAAAUGCGGCGCGGUAUGCGGGCGCGACGCGGGCGCUAUUACAUGACGCUGACACUAAUAUAUUUAAUACUAAAAUACUAUAAUGUUGAAAAAGAAAUACUAAAACAACUUAAAUAUUGCUCAAAAUUCAUAAUGUAUUCAUAAUUUGAAAUAAAACAUGUCUUAUGCAAAAACAUAAGAACAUAGUUGCGAAAUACUAAUAAAAUUCAAGGUAGUUAACACCUUAAGCCUCUAAAGCUUAAAGUAAGAAAAGUACUAAACAUGAACUAAACAUGAAAUAAAAGGUCAAAUUCAAUAAUCAUGAAAAUCUUCAUUAUCACUUCCACUUCCAUUAUGUAAAUUAUAUAAUACUUAUUGAAAGAAAUAAAAGUACUAAUUACAUAGAAACUAAGAAGAAUGUCUUGCGUGAUUCAUAGAAAUUAGAAACUAAGAAAUAAAAGUAAUAAAUACAAGUUACAACCAGGGGCGGACCUGGACUUCCAAUAUCAGCGACGGGCGACGGGCGACGGCGGUUCAGUGGUGGGUGGUGGACUUCAGGACUGACCGGUGGGUUGUAUGUGUUGCGUGCGUGCAACAGUCGAUUUGGAAAAGAAACGGAAAAGGAAAACGCGUGUUCUGCUGAGUGAGUGCUGAGAAAACAACCAAAAUUGGGCUGGGCUAAAACAGAGCUUUACCCUAAUAUUGGCACUGACGUGACAUUUUUUUUGUUUUAUUUUUCAAACUUUUUUUGAAUGCCACGUGUAAAAAAAGAAUUUACAUGUCAUUUAUAAUUAAAAAAGUAUUUUUUUUUUCAAAAACGAAAAAUCCUUUUUUUAAUUAAUUUUUAAAAAGAUAAAAUUAUUUUAAAAAUCAGAAAAAAAAAAUCUAAUCUUUUUUUCAAAAAUUUGAAAAAUCGAAAAAAAAAAAAAUCAUUCCUAAUUUCAGGAAAAAAAAUCUUUUUUCAAAUGCUCAAGCACAACAGCAAGAGACUUCCUAUGCUCCUAAACACAAUCAAAAGACUUCUAUUGCUCAAGCACAACUGCAAGAAAACUGUUUGAGGUUGAACACUUGAUAUACAAUCAGUGGUGUUCACAAUACAAAUCAGAUACAGACUCCUAAGACUCUGGAAUUUCUAAGAUAUGAAAGUUGAUAAGAAAUUCUAAGUGAACUUUUGAAUGCAAAACAAUUUCAGUAGAGUUUUGGCACUAUCUAAAUUGUUGUUGAGUCGUUUUUCAUGCAUUACCAAUCUCUGAGUCUUCACUCCUUUAUAUAGAGGUGUGAAAGAGACGUUGUGAAUUGCCAGCAUAUCAAAAUAGAGUCGUUUGAAGCUUUGAUCAAUCACCAAUGAUCUUUUGCCUGAUAUGGUUAUUGUCCUAUGAAGGAUCAAUUUCAAAUCCAUUCUCAUAGUGAAGGAACAACACCCCGUUUUCCCAACUUGAAAAUUUCACAUAUAAAUCAGAGUAUUUCAACAUAUACGGAAUGUCACACUUCUUUUCAUAAAAUCAUAAACAGAAUAAAAUUACUAUUUAUUCUUCAAAUUCAACAACAUAUCAUUUAUUACAUCACAGCGGAAAUUAUUCAAUAUUUAAACAACUGAUGAGUUAAUAAUUAGGUGUUUUAGAUUAAUAUUUAGUUUCGUUUUAGUUAAAUUCAAGUUUAUUUUAUUUUAAUAUUAUUUCAUUUUUAAGCUAGUUUACUACAAAUUGCAUUUUAUUAUAUUUCAGGAACGAAUAUUGGAUGGAUUGAGUCUUGAAGCAAAAGAAAGGGAUUUGGAGCUGAUUCGGUACGAAAAUACGAAGAUUUGGAGACAAAAUAUGUCUCCCCCAAAGUCAGAAGCUUGGCACGGUCCGUGGUAGCAUUGGCACGGCCGUGCCACCCUCUAGAGUCCAUUUUGCUGCUUUUGCUUAGAUUUUAAGCUACUCUAUUUUAGCCCGCAGUUUCUUGUGGAACAUUCUAGUAAUGUAAUUGCUUAGAUUUGAAGUCGAAUGUAUGCUAUAAAUAGAGUAGCUAGCCAUCACAAAUAUUCAUCUUUUCUUGGAAUUCAAUAAGUGACAAUUGUCUUUCUAAUAAAAGUUCUUUUCUUUUUCUUUACUUUCUUGUCAUUUACUUUUAUGCUUUCUCUCUUCUUCCCCAUGUCUACGAUGAACAUGAGUGAGUAGACUUCUUAUGUCUUGGGAUUGUUGGAUAAGUCUAAUGACAUAAUCCUAAUCAAGUCAAGCCUUAAACCUUAAUAUUAUGUAACCCUAGUUUCUCUUCUAAAUUCACCGUUUUAACAUGGAUUAAAUAUUAUCAAACUGUGGAAACGAAAGUGGAGGGUUUGAUAAUCGUUAAUCCAUUAUUCCAAAUGUUAAUUCAGAAAACGAAAGUGGAGCUUUAAUAUUCGAUCAAGUGAAUUUAGACAAGGAUCGCGAAACAUGAAAAUAGUCUAGUGAACCUUGAGACUUAUAGAGUUUCGAACUUCAAGGAUUCUAAUAGUAAUCAACCAUGAAAAUAGGCGUGCUUGCUAGAGGAACACACUCACUGAGACCGAUAGGAGAUGUGAUAGGCUUAAGAGAAACUCGUCUUUAGAAACUAGGUCUAAAAUAAGGUUUUAGGUUUAAUGGCUUGGCUUGUGAAUGAUUUGUCGCCUAUGACGGACCAACGAUCCCAAGGCUCUCUUUUAUUAUUAUUUUCUCUUUCAAUCAUUUGAAAACAACAAUCUUACAUUCCUGAUUCUCUUCUAAUCACCAACUAAAGUUAAUUGAAUUAAACAACUCCGUGUCGGAACGAUACUCUUUUCAUUACUACUUCGGUAAGACCGUGCACUUGCGGUUUUAUCCCAUCAACAACCUUGGCACAAAGGCCUCAACUAUUCUCGGUCACCUGCAAGUUACCCAUGCAAAGGCAACAAUUUCCAAGCAGAAGGGGUGAGAUUUCACAUUCAAUAAUAAAAACAUAUAAUUCAUCAAAUGCAUUUAACAACAUAAACAUCAUCAAUUAAUAAUAAUAAUUCUUCAUAUAAUACUUCAUUAACAACUCAUGGAUAGAUGGCAACUUAACAACAACGACAAUGCAACAUCUACGACUUCAACUCGACAAUGCAACUACAUCUUCUUAAUCAUGCAUGUGGUACCAACAUAAAGAGCAUAAAUAUACUCACAGGGCAUCAAGCCCUCAACUUAAAGAGCAAAUAGGCUCAUAGGGCAUCAAGCCCUCAACGUAAAGAGCAAUGGCUCACAGGGCAUCAAGCCCUCAACUUGAAUGAGUAUGCAUGGACUCAGUAUAACACCCCGAUUUCCCAACAUAAAAUUUCAUAAAAUAAAAAUCAGAGUAAUCACAUAAUCGGAAUGUCACAUUCUUUUUCAUAAAAUCGCAUAAUGAAUAAAUAACUAUUUAUCCUUCAAAAUUCAAUAAUAAAGUCUUUAACACUUCGCAGCGGAAUUUAUUAAACUUCUAAAAUGGUCUUUGGCACGAAGGCCUAAUCAUAAACAUCUCAAGUAAUCAUAAACAUCUCAUAAGUUCAAAUCCAACAACUUAAUCAUAAAUCUCAUAAAAUAAUACGUAAGGAAUAGAAAGAAAUAACAAGUUCCCAUCCCGAUAUGUAUCAGAGCACCUAAAGACACACUUGUGAGAGAGUCCACUCACGACCGCGACUAAUCUUGGUUACCUGCAAGUUACCCACGUAUAGAGGCAACAUUUCCAAGCAGAAGGGGUGAGAUUCACAAACAAUAAUAUUAAGCAUAUAAUUCAAUAAUUAUAUUUAACAACAUAAACAUCUUAAACAUAUCAUAAUUAUGAUUUAUCAUCAAAUGCUUCGUUAAAACAUCACAACUUAACAACUUGACUCGACUAUGCAACUUCAACUUGACUAUGCAACUCUAUCUUCUUAAAUCAUGCAUGUGGUACCAAUCCAGGGCAUUAAGCCCUCAACGAGUAGAGCAAAAGCUCACAGGGCAUCAAGCCCUCAACGGGUAGAGUAAAAACUCAUAGGGCAUCAAGCCCUCAACUUAAAUGAGUAUGCAUGGACUCAACUUCUUACAACUUAAACAACGUGAACAUCUCAUAUGACUCCAAUAAUUUGGAUUGACAUCUUACAUCUUAGACCGACUCAUGCAGUUCAAUCAAUAAUAAACAGCAGCAUGACAGCACAUAAAACAACUUAUGAUAUAACAAUAUCAAGUAGUAAUCAACAACUUAAAACAUCACAAAUAAUUCACAUAAUGCAUAUAUAAAUAUAUGUCACAUUAAUAACAACACCAAAUCAUCUUAUCAGACAUUCUGAACAACAACAACAGCAUAAGCAACUUAGUUUAUUACCCCCAUGAUCAACUCACAUCAACUCGUGCGACAAAGGUCACAUAAACCCUAACAAGGCAGUCUGUCACUCAAGGGCUCGCGAGGCGAGAGCCUCUACUCGCCAUGGCGAGUUCACAAAGUUUGGUUGUUCGCCUUGGCGAACAAGCAGCUCGCCUUGGCGAACUAAGAACUGGGUGCUCUCGGGAACUUGACAUUUUUCACCCAAAAAUCCCAUUUUUAACUUCCCUGUGUUCAAUCUCAGUCUAAAAAUUUACCUAAUCAUUCUUAUACAUAUUCAGGCACUCAAAACCAUCUAAAACUCGACUAAAGGCCCACUUUUACAAAAUCAUGUUGAAUCAAGGUCUACUCGCUAUGGCGAGUGACUUGCUCGCAGUCGCGAGUGAAAUCUGGGCUCACUCGCGAGGCAUGAUCACUCGCGUGGCGAGCGAUGAACUUCAUCACUUGCGAGGCGAAACAUGCAGCUCGUGAGGGCGAGCGAUGAAUAUAGGCUCGAGCAGAAGUGCAGUUUUCACGAAAAUUUACCUAUUCACAUGGUUUUAAGCUUAACAUUGAUUCCUGUAAUCAUCCAAUGGAUUAUCUAAGGUCUGUACACAGUUUUUACAUCAAUCUAAUGAUUUUACACCGAUUAAUCAUGGAUUUCUCACUUUUAACCUAAUUCCCAAUUUCUCAAAAACUCAUCAUACAACUUGUUAAAUCUAAUCAUCAGAAUUAUACACUUAUAUAUAUAUAUAUAUAUAUAUAUAUAUAUAUAUAUAUAUAUAUGGGAUGUUUCAAAUGAGAGGAGUGGUUAUUGUGAGAGGGUGAGAGCACAAAACAAUGACGGUCAGAUGUAAAUAAACGGCUUUGAUCCACUUUUCACAUAAAACUUGCACAGUGCAUCUAUUUUCCCUUCUUUCUUCCCUUUCUUUUCAAUUAUACUUUUCUCUCUCUUCUUUCUAACUUGGAAUGCAACGCCAUUGUUCUGUUCCUAUGUUGUAAAAGCACUGUCAAUAAGGAAAAAAAUGAGAUUUUAUUUUUUUUUUAAAAUCCAAGAUCUAGUGGUUAAUAAAAUUAUUACGGAAAUCAGACAUUGUUUUCUUUGUUUUUUGGAAAAAGGAUGAGAAGAACAAGUAGGAAUUAAGCUUUUUUCUUCUUCAAUUCUUAUGAUUUUUUCAUAGAUCUGAGAGCAUUUAGAGUUCAAUUGAAUGGAAUUGAAGUGAGAAUUGAAACAGGGUUUUGAAAAGGUUGGAGACGUCAUGCUUUCAAAACACAGUAACCUAAUUUUAAGUUUCUAUGGUAGCUGCAAUCUUUCUUUCUUUCUUCAUUCUGAGCUUGAAACGACGACGUUUUGUUCCAAAUCCAUGGAAUCAGACUUCAACGUCGGAACCGUCGCAACGUAACGCGUAGAAAAAUUCCGAAGUCGGAAUAUGAAUAGACCUGACGGAGUUCCUGUUCCUAAUCGCCGGAGUUUGUCGUCGGUGUUACUGUGCCUAAUCGCCGGUGUUCAUCGUCGGUGUUCCGCCGGAGUUUGCCAACGUUGUUCCUGUUCGUUUUUUGAUCUAAGCUUUGAUGAUCUGGAAUAUUAUAAUUUAUAAUUUCAUAUUACUUUUUUAAUUGAAUUAUUUGGUUGUUAAAUUAAUGAAAGAACAUUAGAAAUGUAUUUUAGUGGAGAGGAAUACGGUAAAGAAGGAGAUGAAGAAAACUGAAAAUUGGAAAUGAGUAUACGAAGAAGGGAUGGAUGAUGGAGAAAUUGAGCAAUAUUAAAGCACAUAAGUUACUACAAUAAGAGUUUUAAUGUGAGUCAUUGAUUUUGAUCUAAUGGUUGAGGUUUAUUCCUCUCACCUCUCAUUUGAUAUUCCCUAUAUAUAUAUAUAUAUAUAUAUAUAUAUAUAUAUAUAUAUAUAUAUAUAUAUAUAUAUAUAUAUAGGAUGUUUCAAAUGAGAGGAGUUUUAAAAUGAGAGACGAGAGCAUUGAAUAUUAACCAUUAGAUCAAAAUUAACGGUUCAGAUCUGAAGUUUCCUUGAAACUAUAUAUUUUGUCUCAUUUUCUUAUUGUACGCGCGCGUGUAACUCACAUAUGUUUCCAGCAAUUACUUCUCCUUUCUCAUUUUGAUUAUAGCUUUCUCUGUCAUUUUUCUCACUCUGCAACUCCUUUCUUCUUCUCAUGACCCUUUGCAAACUAUGGCUACUUACAUAUUAAGAAUUAUAAAAAGUUAAAAUUAAGUACAAGCUACUUCUCCUUUCUUGUUUAACAACAAUUAAAAAUUAAGAAGAAAAAAAAGUUAAAUUAUACUCCUUUAAUUUUAUAAGGGCUUCGAUUCACAAGCUACCUUUAAUUUUGGAACCUCUUGCAAUUGAUUACUUGCCGUUCAUUUAAUUUCUUGAAACUGAAAAGUCUAUCAGCAAUUAUUUCUCAGUGUUUCUUUUUUCCAAUUUGUGAAGAAAUUGGAAUAAUAAAAUAUAAAUUCAAUAUGUAAAAUUAUUCUGAAACUUUCAUCUUUAAUUUUGCAAUACGAUUACACCGCCGUCGUCUCUGAUCCCUCAAAACCACAUUUGAAUUUUUUUUUGCACCUUCGUCAUCAUCAAUCUGCAAAAUACCCUAUUUGAUUUUCCAAAUUUUGAGAUUAAAAAACGACCAUUAACAUGAUUUGUUUUUUUGUUUUUAAUUGAAAAACCUGAACAAUUUAUUUAAUGGAUGAUUCUGAAGAGAUUUGAAAAUAGAUGGGAAGAUAACAGUGAAAGAAAAAAGAACAGGGAAAAAAACGAAAGAAAGAGGAAGCGCGUGGGUGAGAAUUGUAAGGUUCAAUCUGAAGAGUUUAUUUUAAUCCAAUGGUUGUCCUUUAAUGCUCUCAUCUCUCAUUUUAAAACUCCUCUCAUUUGAUACAUCCCCUAUAUAUAUAAGACUAUUACUUUUCCCACCCUGUUGGUUUCCUCGCGCACCCUAUUUUUUUCUCCAAAAAUGCCCCUUGAGUUUCCGGAUUUUAUAAUUCGGAAUGAUGUUUUCUUUUGUUAAAAGUGAAAAAAUGAGUAACGGAUUUUUCCGGAUUUUCUAAUCCGGAAACUUCAAAAAUAGGGCGCGUUACAUGAUGUUUUCGGAUUACAUAAUCCGGAAAUCCCCUAAACACCAUUUUUUAAGGUAAAACAGUUCGGAUUAUAUAAUCCGAACUGUAUCAGCACAAAUUCUAAACAUGUUUGUAACAUGGAUAGUCAUUUUAGGGACAACAUUAAUCAUGAUUAGAUAGUGUCUUCGUUGUCUUGAUUUUUGUUAUCGUUAUUGUGCUAGAAUCCAAUAAGUCAUAAGCUUUUCUAACUACACUUUCACUAAACUCUUUGAAAUUUUUUAAAAACGCUAUUAACCCCCUCUAGCACAUAUCCUUAUUCGCCAUAGAGACCAACAAUUGGAAGGAAAAAAAUGGAUCUUUACACAAAAGCCGCAAAGAGUGUUGUUGUCAAAUUUUUAAUUUAUAGGACUAUUAUGUAGAUAUAUCUUGGUGAUUUUCCAAGCCAAAAAUGUUGUCGACGUAAUUGUUUUUAAAGCUGUAUUUAAUAAAAAUAAGGGGAAAAAAAAUUCCUUUUGAGACCAGUUUUGUGGGAAGUCAGGUGCAGAAUGAAAAAUAAAAAAUAAAUAAAUGGAAACACUCAUGAGGGUGAAACCAGUUUGUAGGUAAAAUUAAAUAAAAAAGUAGAUGACAUAUUGAAUUGUUAUUGGAUGUGUUAAAAAGUGUCUUAGUGGGUGUGUCCCUAUAAGUUAUUUAGCUUAUGAGAAAUUAACCUCCUCUAAUUGAUUAUUGAUUCUUUAUACAUAUCUUUCUUUGAAAGCUUAUUAAGAGAGAGCAUUAACAACCCCAAAUGGAAUUUAAAGGUCUGCGCUCAGACAUGAGUGCUCAACUUAGGCUUUGUUUGCAUGUUUUGUGUAACAUUAAAGAAAAUGUCUAGUACUAGAGAUCAAUGUAAUUUUGAAAAAAAAUUUGAAACUGAUGAAGCUUAAAUAAUUUUUGGAUCUUUAAUACUACAAUUACAUAUAUUUCAAAAUGUACAACAAGAAUUUACAAUUUUGUAUACGACCCUGACCGUGAUCCGAUAACGAAGAACUCUACAUUGAACUGUUGACGAGUAGUCCGGACAUACUCUUCAACUUUCCAAUAUCAAGUUUAACCAGAAAACAUCAUCCAAACAUAGUGAGUACAAAGACUCAAUAACAUAGAAUAUACAAUAAAAUGCACUUUGAUGUUCUCAGCCAUGUCUGGUACUAGACAUGGAAAAAGCUCUCUCAUCAAUAUUACUAAUUAAUAAACUCUUACUUAUCUAACAUUUUACCAAAUGCAUAAUGGUUUAUAUACAUAGGAAUUCGUCCUAUUCGUAUAUUAUUUACUUUAGCUGCACUAUACAACUACUUAUAAUUCUAUUAACUAAAUCAAACAGAAUAUAGCAUGAGUAAUAUAUCUCUUUGUGCAAAUCAACAUAUAAGAAUAAAUGAGUAUUACAGAGAGGAAGUAGUCUUGUCAAUUUUAAUUGCAGAUACUCCUAAGUGUGAGUGUACUUAGGAAUAAUCUACCUCCUAGUGAAGUUAACUUAUUCGCAAGCGGCGUCCCACUUACUACUUCACUAGCUCUUACCUCACAAUUGAUUACUUUGAUUUCUUUAUGUCUAUAUGUAAUGAAUACACUUAGAGCUAACUUUAUACUUGCUGCAAAAACUUAUCAUUACAGUAUACUACAAUUAUCUCACAACUAUGUACAAAUAGUUACUUAUAUAACCAUAAAGCAAAUUUAGUAUAUGACAUUGCAACUUAUUUCUAUCUGGUGUUUACACACACAUAAUACAUACACAGAACUAGUGCAUUUUUCUUUUUAUAUAUCUAAAUUACUUUCAAAGUACAAGGUAAUUUAAACUAUAAUUUCAAAUUACAAAGUAAUUUAAUAACAAUUCAUAUUAUUUCUACCUUUGCUAACAUUACCAAAAACAACACAGAAUUAGAGUUUUCAUGUCUAAUUAUCCAAAUCAAUUAUCCAAAUUUAAAUUCUAGAAUCCCUAAUUCCACUUUUCCUCUCAUUAACCCUAAAUCGAGCACAUGCAAUCAAUAAUUAUUAAGGAAAUUAAGUACACUCUAGAGAGGUUUUGAGUUUGGGAUAAGACUAUGUUACCUUAGAUUUUACUCCCUAAUUUUAACUUGAUUUUGUAAUUUCCAUAAUGACUAUAGCUUCUUCAAUGGUAGCUUCCCCUUUUUCAAUCUUGUAGAUGUAGGGUUGCAACUCAAACUCAGAUCUCUUCCCUCUCCCUCUCCCUCUCUCUNNNNNNNNNNNNNNNNNNNNNNNNNNNNNNNNNNNNNNNNNNNNNNNNNNGCAAUAUAAAAAAAAAGAGGGUAAGGAGGGUAAUAAAGCAAAGAGAAAAGAAAUGAGAAGAGUAAAAGAUAAAUAGGAUGCAAGAGGAGGAAAAAAAAUAAUAGUAGGGUAGAUAAGAGAAAAAAAAUAAAUAGAAGAAAAAAAAGAAAAAAUAUAAGGAAAAGAUAUAACAAAAUAAAUAUGCGGGAGGAGAAGAAUAAAUAAUAAAUAGAAGAAGCUGGAAAAGAAGGGAAAAGUAAAUCACUUGAAGACUACCUAUAAAAAUUUAUAAUUCAUAAGAACGUAGAGGAAAUAAAAAGAAAACAGAAGAGAUGGACAAAGGUAAGAAAAUAAAAAAAAGAGGGCAGGACAAAUAAGGGGGGAAAGAGACGACGGAGCGAAAAAAACAAAAAAAAAAAAAAAAAAAAAAAAAAAAUCUCUCUCUCCCCCUCCCCCCCCCUCUCUCACUCUAAAUAAUUAUCUGAUACUUUCCGAUACGUAUCAGGAGAGUAUCCGAUAAUUAUCCUGCACCAAUACCUGCCCCAAUACUUCCCAAUUAAUGUUAAUUAAAAUAACUUAACUUUUGAGUAUAGUGCUUCUUUUUUGGAUCGAUGUAAUAUAGCACUAACAAUGUUCAUUUUGGAUAUAGUGUAGCACUUAUGGUGCUCUUUUUGAGAUAUAUUGUGUAUGUAAUUGACUAAUCAUCACUCUCUUAAUCGUCACUAUUAUUUAUAUUUAUGUUGAUGUGCUACGAGCCUAUGACUGAUUUAUUUUGUUUGUUAAUAUAUUUGUAUAUUAAAAAAAUGGUUAUAAUUAUAUUGUACAUUAAAUUUUAUAAUAUUUUUAUUAACGUAUCACAGCCGUAUCGUAUCUUGAUUUUUGAAAUUUUCCUGUAUCGACGUAUCGAUGCAGUAUCGUAUCCGUAUCGUAUCUCGUAUCCGGGCUUCACAGGAAAUACUUAAUAGGAAAGAUGGAUUUUUUUUUUUGAAGCUGUUACUUUGUGAAAGAUUUAAAGCUAACAUAGUCAAAUAAAGAGUAAUGAUAUUUCUACAAUCAUUUUGUGAUAGCUUUUGGAUAACCUUCUUCUUCCCUCUUUUAAUUGGUCAUAAACAAUAGAUAGAGAAAUAAGAAGAGAGAAAGUAAAAACACAAUGAAAAUAAAAGAGAUUUGUCCAAAAAUUAAAAUAGUUGUAUAAAUAUGAUUUCUCAAAAUAAAAAUUCAAAUAGUUCACUAAUUGAUUGAACAUAUAUUCCUUCAUUAAAAAAAAUUGAUUGAACAUAUAUGUUUUGUUGUUAUAUAUAUAUAUAUAUAUAUAUAUAUAUAUAUAUAUAUUAUAUAUAUAAUUUUUUUUUUAAAACUCGGUAUCCGAUCCAAGAAUCGACUAAUCUGAAGGGACCAAUCUCACCCCCCACUUGGGGGUCCCGUUAAGCCAGAGCAAGCUCUAUAUGGACUUAACCCACCGAAAUUGGCACCAGAAGGAAUAUCCAACUUGAGACCUCUGGAGGAGCAAACUCCAAGAUCCCAAGUCAACCACUAGGCCAACCCCAAAUGGAUUUUUAUUGUUUUAUAUUUAACUUUUUUUUUACUAUCCAAAAUCCAAAUUGAAGAUUAAAAUUCAUUUUUUCUGGUUAUAACAAACUUUAAAAAAAAAAUUGGGGAUUUGAGAAACCAUAGAUAGUUGUAAGUAUUUUAUGUGAUGUACCACGCGGAUAACAUUUAAGAAAAUGCAUUAAGUUUUAUCCUUAUUUUAACUCUAACAAAAAUCUUAGGUGAAUUUCCCUAGGUGCUUUUCAUAUGAUAUAAACUAUUCAUGAAAAGUGUAUUUUUAGCUAAAAAUCAUAUGAAAAACACAAAGAAAUUCACACGAGUUUUUUACUUAUUUAAAACUAUUUUUGUGUUUCUCAUUUUUAUCUCAUUCAUUAAAUUUUAUUUUAAAUUAUAUUUCAUUUAGCAUAGAUUUGUCAAAUUUGAAAGAUAAUUCAUUCAUUUUAUAAAUGAUAAAUUGAUCGAGAAAAUUUGAAAGAUUAAAUUAUUUAUUUUAUAUAUUUACAAGAAAAAAAAAUUAUAUUUUCCUACAUGUUGUCAUUGUUUUUAUUAUAAACACGUACUCCUUGAUAAUUUUUCAACUUGGAUAACUAGAACUUGUUUAUUUUAUAUGUUAAGUAGGUUUUGUUUUUUGUUACAAACUCAGAAUCCGGCGCAAUGAAAGGUAAAAGUUCAUGUAACUUAUAGAUGUAUUCUUUGCUCAGAUUUUUUUAGAUAGAAUGGAAAGAAAAGUUCAUGAAAUGUUGCAAGGUUAAAUAUUUUUUAUUAGUUAAGAACCACACGAAAAGCACCUAAAAAAUUGUACCUAAGUUUUCCAUGUCUAUCCUUACUUCAAGGACUUUCUACCCCCAUUUUAUUUUAUGGUGGGUUUCGAAACCCAUUAUAUAUUUUCAUUGUGGAUUUCUACAUGUUUUCCCCUCUAAAAUUGUAGGUUUCGUUAAUUAUCCUCUUGAAAUUAAUAAAACUUCAAUUAUCUCCCUGAAAUUGCAUAACGUUAAUCAAUUUACCCCAUCCGUCAAAUUUUUCUGUUAACUAUUUACGGUUAUAAUCAAAUACCCCCCCUGAAAUUUUGCACUUAUGUGCAAAAUGUCCCCUAAACUUGAAAAUUUAUAUUUGUCUUUAUCCUUGACUCAAAAGAUAUUAAAGGCAAACAAUUAACAAUUAUUGAUCAUAUAAAUCUUUAUGGAAUGUAUGUUUAUGCAGCUAUUGAUCAUAUAAAUCUUUAUGUAAGAUAUGUUACUCUCAUGUGUUUUAAAUAUAUACAUAUAUAGAAGACUUUUUUUUACACAAGUUGGUAAUUAUGUUAGAGUAUGCAGUCAUAAAGUACACAAGUCUUUGAUAAUUGUGUGUCCAUAUAGAAAAUUCAUAGGUUAAUAUCUGGAGAAGGAAGAAGAAACAAGGCUUAGGUUUGUGAAUUUGCAACUUAAUUAAUGAUAUAAUUUUUAUAAUGCAGGAAAUGUCAUAUCUAUUAGCUGCAACAUGUUAAAUAGAUUAUGUCAUAGACCUUCUGCAUGAAGCCGGUAGAUCACAUUGUACUACAAAGUUAUGUGAUAUAUAUCAAUUUUCUGCUGCUAUGCAUUCUCUGCAGAAGGAAGAAGAAACAAGGCUUAGGUUUGUGAAUUUGCAACUUAAUUAAUGAUAUAAUUUUUAUAAUGCAGGAAAUGUCAUAUCUAUUAGCUGCAGCAUGUUAAAUAGAUUAUGUCAUAGACCUUCUGCAUGAAGCCGGUAGAUCACAUUGUUCUACAAAGUUAUGUGAUAUAUAUCAAUUUUCUGCUGCUAUGCAUUCUCGUCUUGGUUUAUUUCAACAACUUGAUAUCUUUUUAAUGUUUGGUUUUUAGUUUUACCUUCUUUGUAAAAAAAUUAUCUUGCUCCUUGUUGAUAAAUAUGAAAUAUGAAUGAAAAGGCUGCACAUGACAAAAUCAUGAUUUCUUUGACAUAUAUUCAUUCAUUUUCUUGUGAAUAGAAUUUUUAUGACAAUAAGUACAAUAUACUACUUGAAGAAUUAAAUGUAUGAUUUUUGGUAAGAAAAAAAAUCUAAAUUUUUAAGUUUAGGGGGCAUUUUGCACAUAAGUGUAAAAUUUCAGGGGGGUAUUUGAUCAUACCGUAAACAGUUAACAGAAAAAUUUGACGGAGGGGUAAAUUGAUUAACGUUAUGCAAUUUCAGGGGGUAAUUGAAGUUUUGUUAAUUUCAGGGGAGUAAUUGACGAAACUUACAAUUUCAGGAGAGAAAUUGACUAUUUACUCUGGCCGAAGAUCCUUGAAUGAAAUAGUGUGGAAAAUUUUGAUUUUACCAUUCUUAGUAUAUAUGAAAAUGUCAUUAAGAAAUGAAGUAAGGUUAGUGAGAAGAGACCUGUGUGGGUUUCAGCUGGGUUAGCUAUGA
Molecule: long non-coding RNA, 30558 nt
Filed under: Medicago truncatula (barrel medic)
Lineage: Eukaryota; Viridiplantae; Streptophyta; Magnoliopsida; Fabales; Fabaceae
Description: long non-coding RNA (MTRU_LNC003348)
Source: RNAcentral